GUGGGCGCACUCGCCAAAGUUUCUCCAAAGCCUGAAGUCUCUCUGACCCAAAAGGGGAUAGGAAUAUGUGAAAUUCUUCUAAGGAAGCAAAUCAAUAGCAACACCAACCAUCUCCUGUGGUUUUCCUUGUAUCAUCGCAUGCACCCUAUUUGAUUGGUUACAGAAAACAAGCUUUACCAAUAUAUCUUAAGGUUGUCAAAAAUUUCUAAUCUAAUAGCUGGCUCAAGUAAGGUGAACUCAUUGGUGCAGAUAUUUCUAAAUGAUCAAACUACUGAUGUGUUGUGAAAUGGCAGCUUAUUAUCACCCGGAAACACCUUAUUUAACAAGUAUCCAGCUUAAGGAUAGAGUGAUGGACAUGAAUUGGGAUAGUUUGUCAGGCAGUGAUGUCUUGUAAUUGGUAAUAAGCUGCUAACUUGUAUGGAAGAUUCUGUAGUUGGUUUGUUAAGUUUGUAGGAGGAAUAUCUACAGGUUGAACUUAUUUUUCCUUAAUGUUGAAAUUUUCAGAUUUGGAAGAUUGUAAAAGUUGUAAUUGAGAACUCA
Papaver somniferum (opium poppy) is the source of this 540-nucleotide long non-coding RNA. RefSeq lists it as uncharacterized. The record is from RefSeq and is a predicted model, not a curated record. The transcript has 5 exons. NCBI's taxonomy places the organism in Eukaryota, Viridiplantae, Streptophyta, Magnoliopsida, Ranunculales, Papaveraceae.